ACGGGGUGCAGCAGGCGCGAAACCUCCGCAAUGUGAGAAAUCGCGACGGGGGGAUCCCAAGUGCCAUUCUUAACGGGAUGGCUUUUCAUUAGUGUAAAGAGCUUUUGGAAUAAGGGCUGGGCAAGACCGGUGCCAGCCGCCGCGGUAACACCGGCAGCUCUAGUGGUAGCAGUUUUUAUUGGGCCUAAAGCGUCCGUAGCCGGUUUAAUAAGUCUCUGGUGAAAUCCUGUAGCUUAACUGUGGGAAUUGCUGGAGAUACUAUUAGACUUGAGACCGGGAGAGGUUAGAGGUACUCCCAGCGUAGAGGUGAAAUUCUGUAAUCCUGGGAGGACCGCCUGUUGCGAAGGCGUCUAACUGGAACGGUUCUUGACGGUGAGGGACGAAAGUUAGGGGCGCGAACCGGAUUUUGAUACCCGGGUAGAUCCUAACUGUAAACGAUGCGCACAUGGUGUUGGGGGUGGCUUUGAGCUGUUCCACUGCCGAAGGGGAAGCUGUUAAGUUCCGACGCCUGGGAAGUACCGGUCGCAAGUUCUGAAACUUAAAAGGAAUUGGGCGGGGGGAGCCAC
RNAcentral lists this ribosomal RNA (566 nucleotides) under uncultured archaeon. RNAcentral describes it as "bacterial SSU rRNA". It matches the Rfam family "Archaeal small subunit ribosomal RNA", at positions 325 to 882 of the family's 1478-position model. The record is from RNAcentral.